GCGAAGCGAAACGCGCACAGCACGAACAAACGCGAAGAAUAAAGUGAAAAAGAGGACCAAAGAGAGACGCGGUAGGCGAGAAAGAGAUGGCGCGUUUCCAGUGAAGGUGAAGUGACAGUAAAUAACAACAACAAAAGAACCAACUAUCAAAGACCCACUGUACACACCUCCCAGAGCGGACAUUAAACCGCAGCUCCACAAUGAACGCGCUUUGUUGUCGUCGGCGUUAUCAAUUAAAUGUAAAACGAGGCGCAGCGCAAACGAAAUGGAAAUGAAAAUGGCAGCCGUGAGAUACUACACCACUCACACAGAUACUAUAUACAGAUACUUUAUAUAUAUGUAUGUACCUAUAGUGCACACGUUUACAAAAGUUUGUUAUUAUUAUAUUUGCGAUGAGCGGAAAUGCCAAUUGAAGCUACCUUUAACAAAGCCCCAUGAAGAUGCCCGCCCCCGGGGGUUAACUGAUGGACUGAUGGAUGGAUGGGUGGACUUAUGGACAAACGGAGGGACUGUGUGCAUGACUCAAGUGUAUUUCAGGGGAGCCACUCGAGCCAAAGUUGAAAAUUGAUUGAUUCCACUAAGCGAAUGGGCCGAGCACAUGGAAAUGGAAGCUAAAACCACUCGAGUGUUCAAGAGCGCUGAUAAGAACGCACUAUCUGUUUACUCAAUCGAUUCCUAAGAGGCGCGUGUGUUCGUAAACAAAGCAGAUCAGGGUCGGGAACUACAGAUCGGAUGGAAACUACGGAUUAGUCAGCGAACUCAAUAUUCAACCCCUGCCUAUCUCUAUUAUUUGCAGAUAACCUCGAUCAGCAGAGCAUUUCUCAUUAAACAUAUCAAGUAACAACCGCACAAUAAACGUCACAAGUGAAAAAACCCACGGGACUUGCAGCGAGGAAAAUUCAGAGCAGUCGAGGGGAUAUCGUCUGAGGAAUUUCCAUGUGAGAAACUGCGCCACAAGCGGAGCCACAUAAUUUAUGGCCCUCACGGUGAAAGUUGAUAUAAAUCUCAGGAGUAACUUAAAAAUGAAAGAAUGAACCAAGAAAACCGAAAGUAAGGAACAAGAAGUUUAAAUUAUAGUCGACCGGCUGACAUGUGGAAAAGUGCAGGUGAAAACUGGGAAAACCAGGAGGGGAUAUCCUUAAGGAAACAGGAACUCCCAUGGAUGAUGAUGAUGAUGAUGAUGUGUUAAGGGGAAUGGGAAACAUAAAAAAUGAUCUUAAGACAGGGGUUUUCUUUUAAGUGGGGUUUUAACCAAAGUGGAAUUGGAGAUGCUUCAAUAUUGUGAACACAAAUUAUUUUUUUGUCAACUAAUUACAGUCAUUGGAAAAUUAUUCAAAAGGCAU
Long non-coding RNA from Drosophila gunungcola (fruit fly), 1343 nucleotides. RefSeq lists it as uncharacterized. The record is from RefSeq and is a predicted model, not a curated record. NCBI's taxonomy places the organism in Eukaryota, Metazoa, Arthropoda, Insecta, Diptera, Drosophilidae. The transcript is spliced from 5 exons.